CCUACGGGAGGCAGCAGUGGGGGAUAUUGCACAAUGGGGGAAACCCUGAUGCAGCGACGCCGCGUGUGGGAAGACGGUCCUCUGGAUUGUAAACCACUGUCCCCAGGGACGAAGAUGACGGUACCUGGGGAGGAAGCUCCGGCUAACUACGUGCCAGCAGCCGCGGUAAUACGUAGGGAGCGAGCGUUGUCCGGAAUUACUGGGUGUAAAUGGAGCGUAGGCGGGACUGAAAGUUGGGUGUCAAAUCUACCGGCUCAACCGGUAGCCGCACUCAAAACUGCAGUUCUGGAGUGAAGUAGAGGCAGGCGGAAUUCCUAGUGUAGCGGUGAAAUGCGUAGAGAGUAGGAGGAACACCAGUGGCGAAGGCGGCCUGCUGGGCUUUUACUGACGCUGAGGCUCGAAAGUGUGGGGAGCAAACAGGAUUAGAUACCCCAGUAGUC
Molecule: ribosomal RNA, 440 nt
Filed under: uncultured bacterium
Lineage: Bacteria
Description: partial 16S ribosomal RNA
Rfam family: Bacterial small subunit ribosomal RNA
Source: RNAcentral